This 61-nucleotide transfer RNA is filed under the name Arion flagellus. RNAcentral describes it as "tRNA-Lys". Lineage: Eukaryota; Metazoa; Mollusca; Gastropoda; Stylommatophora; Arionidae. The record is from RNAcentral.
UUUUUUAUAGCUUAAUAAUAAAGCCUUAAAUUUUUAAUUUAAAGAAGGUAUAUAAGACCUA